ACCGGCUAACUCCGUGCCAGCAGCCGCGGUAAUACGGGAGGGUGCGAGCGUUAAUCGGUAAUUACUGGGCGUAAAGCGCAUGCAGGUGGUUUGUUAAGUCAGAUGUGAAAGCCCGGGGCUCAACCUCGGAAUUGCAUUUGAAACUGGCAAACUAGAGUACUGUAGAGGGGGGUAGAAUUUCAGGUGUAGCGGUGAAAUGCGUAGAGAUCUGAAGGAAUACCGGUGGCGAAGGCGGCCCCCUGGACAGAUACUGACACUCAGAUGCGAAAGCGUGGGGAGCAAACAGGAUUAGAUACCCUGGUAG
This 304-nucleotide ribosomal RNA is filed under the name uncultured bacterium. RNAcentral's name for it is "bacterial SSU rRNA". It matches the Rfam family "Bacterial small subunit ribosomal RNA", at positions 492 to 793 of the family's 1533-position model. The record is from RNAcentral.